This 178-nucleotide ribosomal RNA is filed under the name uncultured bacterium. RNAcentral describes it as "partial 16S ribosomal RNA". It matches the Rfam family "Bacterial small subunit ribosomal RNA", at positions 1323 to 1500 of the family's 1533-position model. The record is from RNAcentral.
AAGUCGGAAUUGCUAGUAAUCGCGGAUCAGCAUGCCGCGGUGAAUACGUUCCCGGGCCUUGUACACACCGCCCGUCACACCAUGGGAGUCGGUAACACCCGAAGCCUGUAGUCUAACCGCAAGGAGGACGCAGUCGAAGGUGGGAUUGAUGACUGGGGUGAAGUCGUAACAAGGUAUC